GUUUAGUACGAGAUAGCUUGGCGCUUGUAGAAAUGGCUUCUUUUGUUGAGAAGUCAAGUGAGUUUACCAGGAACUCCGCCAAUACAUUAGCAGGUGCCGCCGCCGCCGCUGCAACUGUGGAAUAAAGGCAGGAAAAAAGAUGCUUUUGUGCGCCAUUGCAACUAAUUCUAAACAUCAAAACAAGCACCACUUGUUAUUUGUCGGCAGUAUCCUUACUUCCCCUCUGCUGCUUCACCCGCCUGAGUAGAAUGUAGAUGAGUCUUU
RNAcentral lists this unclassified non-coding RNA (264 nucleotides) under Hevea brasiliensis (rubber tree). The record is from RNAcentral. Lineage: Eukaryota; Viridiplantae; Streptophyta; Magnoliopsida; Malpighiales; Euphorbiaceae.